AGUUACCAGCACGUAAUGGUGGGAACUCUAAGGGAGACUGCCGGUGACAAACCGGAGGAAGGUGGGGAUGACGUCAAGUCAUCAUGGCCCUUACGGCCAGGGCUACACACGUGCUACAAUGGUCGGUACAAAGGGUUGCCAAGCCGCGAGGUGGAGCUAAUCCCAUAAAACCGAUCGUAGUCCGGAUCGCAGUCUGCAACUCGACUGCGUGAAGUCGGAAUCGCUAGUAAUCGUGAAUCAGAAUGUCACGGUGAAUACGUUCCCGGGCCUU
RNAcentral lists this ribosomal RNA (271 nucleotides) under uncultured Pseudomonas sp. Its description in RNAcentral is "partial 16S ribosomal RNA". It matches the Rfam family "Bacterial small subunit ribosomal RNA", at positions 1113 to 1382 of the family's 1533-position model. Lineage: Bacteria; Pseudomonadati; Pseudomonadota; Gammaproteobacteria; Pseudomonadales; Pseudomonadaceae. The record is from RNAcentral.